UAAGACGAACCGUGCAAACGUUGUUCGGAAUCACUGGGCUUAAAGGGCGCGUAGGCGGUGUGUUAAGUCGGUGGUGAAAUACUUCGGCUCAACCGGAGAAUUGCCGCUGAAACUGGCACGCUAGAGGGAGGUAGAGGUGUGUGGAACUUCCGGUGGAGUGGUGAAAUACGUUGAUAUCGGAAGGAACGCCUGUGGCGAAAGCGAUACACUGGACCUCUUCUGACGCUGAGGCGCGAAAGCUAGGGUAGCGAACGG
RNAcentral lists this ribosomal RNA (255 nucleotides) under uncultured prokaryote. RNAcentral describes it as "partial 16S ribosomal RNA". It matches the Rfam family "Bacterial small subunit ribosomal RNA", at positions 521 to 775 of the family's 1533-position model. The record is from RNAcentral.